AAACUAACAAGGAUUCCCCUAGUAACUGCGAGUGAAGCGGGAUGAGCUCAAAUUUAAAAUCUGGCGUCUUCGGCGUCCGAGUUGUAAUUUAGAGAAGCGUUUUCCGUGCUGGACCGUGUACAAGUCUCCUGGAACGGAGCGUCAUAGAGGGUGAGAAUCCCGUCUUUGACACGGACCCCCAGUGCUCUGUGAUACGCUCUCGAAGAGUCGAGUUGUUUGGGAAUGCAGCUCAAAAUGGGUGGUGAACUCCAUCUAAAGCUAAAUAUUGGCGAGAGACCGAUAGCGAACAAGUACCGUGAGGGAAAGAUGAAAAGCACUUUGGAAAGAGAGUGAAACAGUACGUGAAAUUGUUGAAAGGGAAACGCUUGAAGUCAGUCGCGUCCGCCGGGAUUCAGCCGCAAGGUGUACUUUCCGGUGGACGGGCCAGCAUCACUUUUGAUCAUCGGAAAAGGGCGAGAGGAAUGUGGCACCUCCGGGUGUGUUAUAGCCUCUUGUCGUAUACGGUGACCGGGAGUGAGGACCGCCUUUGUAGGAUGCUGGCGUAAUGGCUUUAAACGAC
This 559-nucleotide ribosomal RNA is filed under the name Peniophora sp. YM5314. RNAcentral's name for it is "eukaryotic LSU rRNA". It matches the Rfam family "Eukaryotic large subunit ribosomal RNA", at positions 62 to 648 of the family's 3401-position model. Lineage: Eukaryota; Fungi; Basidiomycota; Agaricomycetes; Russulales; Peniophoraceae. The record is from RNAcentral.